This 425-nucleotide ribosomal RNA is filed under the name uncultured bacterium. RNAcentral's name for it is "bacterial SSU rRNA". It matches the Rfam family "Bacterial small subunit ribosomal RNA", at positions 355 to 772 of the family's 1533-position model. The record is from RNAcentral.
UGGGGAAUUUUGGACAAUGGGGGAAACCCUGAUCCAGCCAUGCCGCGUGAGUGAAGAAGGCCUUCGGGUUGUAAAGCUCUUUCGGGCGGAAAGAAAUCGCACGAGCUAAUACCUCGUGUGGAUGACGGUACCGCAAGAAGAAGCACCGGCUAACUACGUGCCAGCAGCCGCGGUAAGACGUAGGGUGCGAGCGUUAAUCGGAAUUACUGGGCGUAAAGCGUGCGCAGGCGGUUGUGUAAGACAGAUGUGAAAUCCCCGGGCUUAACCUGGGAACUGCGUUUGUGACUGCACGGCUAGAGUACGGCAGAGGGGGGUGGAAUUCCACGUGUAGCAGUGAAAUGCGUAGAGAUGUGGAGGAACACCGAUGGCGAAGGCAGCCCCCUGGGCCUGUACUGACGCUCAUGCACGAAAGCGUGGGGAGCAAA